UACCGGCCUGCGCCGAUUCGUUCGUUUCUUCCUCACCUUGGUCGUACUCCUCUUGCCGUUCACCGAUCCGCGUUAGCCGUGCUCCCGCUCUGUCUGUCUGUCUCUCUCACUUUCUCGGUCUCGCGCACCCACAACAACGGCAAAACCGGCCCCCACCUUACAGGUCCGUUGCGUCACUUCCCGCAUCCCCCCCGCCCACCACCCGGGGUGGUCAGUGGCGUCAUUUCCGUCUCCCUCACUUUCCAGUCGAUGGCGAUGGCAAAGUGCGAGGCGUGAAGGGCUGCGAGGCAGCGCCCGGCGAGAGACCAAACCAAAAAAAACCAGCAGAUGCUGGAACACGAGGUAGACAGCUAGGAGGCUGGAGAAGCACGCCAAACCAGAAAGGAUAUCGAAGAGGAGAUGGUGCACAGAAGGAAUUUACUAGAGUGACGCCAGAAUUGAAAGGCUACACUUAUCAAGAAAGUAUGAACAAACUGGGACUCUAAAUAAAAGAAACCUUGGAGAACUGGCGAGGAGACUGAGCUAAAGAAAGAAGGAGAACACACCCCCUAUACAUCAAUGGAACUGAGGUUGAGAGAGUGAAGAGCAUCAAGUUCCUCGAAGUGACGAUUACCAACGACCUGGUCCUGGACGUCCCAUGUAAAUGUGACAGUCAAGAAGGCAGAACAAUGUCUCUUCUUCCUCAGGCAGCUCAGGAAAUUUGGCAUGUCUAUAAGGCCCUUCGCCAGCUUCUCCAGAUGCACCAUUGAAAGCAAACUGGGUGCAUAACAGCCUGGUAUGGCAACUGCUGUGAGCAGGACCAUAAGAAACUACAGAAGGUGGUGUGCACAGGCUAGACAAUUAUGGAAGCCAACCUUCUGUCCAUGGACUCUACUUACAUGGCUCACUGCAGCGGAAAAGUGGCUAACAUCAUCAAAGACCCAUAGCACAAACUCUUCCGUCAGUUCGAAGAUACAGAAGCCCUAAUGUGUGCACAUACAACUUCUUUCGGCCAUUAUCAGACUGUUGAAUGGACUCUAGCCUCAAAUAAUGUAACCUGCAAUGUUACUUGUAUGCUUCUCAGCCUUUUGGAUCUGUACAUGCUUUGCUUGCUGUGAUCUGCCUGUACCACUCGUCAACAAAUC
Stegostoma tigrinum is the source of this 1124-nucleotide long non-coding RNA. RefSeq lists it as uncharacterized. NCBI's taxonomy places the organism in Eukaryota, Metazoa, Chordata, Chondrichthyes, Orectolobiformes, Stegostomatidae. The record is from RefSeq and is a predicted model, not a curated record. The transcript has 3 exons.